CCUACGGGAGGCAGCAGUAGGGAAUCUUUCACAAUGGGCGAAAGCCUGAUGGCGCAACGCCGCGUGCAGGAUGAAGGCCUUCGGGUUGUAAACUGCUUUUAUAAGCGAGAAAUAUGAUGGUAACUUAUGAAUAAGGAUCGGCUAACUACGUGCCAGCAGCCGCGGUCAUACGUAGGAUCCGAGCAUUAUCCGGAGUGACUGGGUGUAAAGAGUUGCGUAGGUGGCAUAAUAAGUAGCUAGUGAAAUCUGGUGGCUCAACCAUUCAGACUAUUAGCUAAACUGUUAAGCUCGAGAGCGUUAGGGGUAACUGGAAUUUCUAGUGUAGGAGUGAAAUCCGUAGAUAUUAGAAGGAACACCAAUAGCGUAGGCAGGUUACUGGGACGGUUCUGACACUAAGGCACGAAAGCGUAGGGAGCAAACGGGAUUAGAUACCCUUGUAGUC
RNAcentral lists this ribosomal RNA (442 nucleotides) under uncultured bacterium. RNAcentral's name for it is "partial 16S ribosomal RNA". It matches the Rfam family "Bacterial small subunit ribosomal RNA", at positions 338 to 795 of the family's 1533-position model. The record is from RNAcentral.